Molecule: ribosomal RNA, 450 nt
Filed under: Littorina squalida
Lineage: Eukaryota; Metazoa; Mollusca; Gastropoda; Littorinimorpha; Littorinidae
Description: partial 16S ribosomal RNA
Source: RNAcentral
AACAGACCAACCCUUGAAGGCUUCUGCACCUGUCAGGAUAUUCUAGUCCAACAUCGAGGUCACAAACCUUUUUUUCGAUGAGAACUCUCAAAAAAGAUUAUGCUGUUAUCCCUACGGUAACUAAUUCUUUUAAUCGUAACUAGUACGGAUCUAGAUUUAGAUAUUUUUAUAAAUAAAAGAAGCUUUAGUUGUUCCUUAGUCGCCCCAACCAAAAUUUUUUAUGAAAAGAAAUGUGUAUAUCGCUUUCUUUAUCUCAUAAAUGACUUUUAAGCUCGAUAGGGUCUUCUUGUCUUUUAAUAUUAUCUAGGUUUCUUCACCUAGAAAAUAAAUUCCAGAGCUUUCUGUAGAGACAGGGUUGCCCUUGUCAAACCUUUCAUACUAGCCCUCAAUUAUAGGGCAAAUGAUUAUGCUACCUUUGCACGGUCAGAGUACCGCGGCCGUUAAAUACUA